UCGCGGUGUGCUGCCAGUAGUCAUAUGCUUGUCUCAAAGAUUAAGCCAUGCAUGUCUAAGUACAUGCCGUACAAGGCGAAACCGCGAAUGGCUCAUUAAAUCAGUUAUGGUUCCUUGGAUCGUACCUUUCUACUUGGAUAACUGUGGUAAUUCUAGAGCUAAUACAUGCAGCAGAGCUCCGACCUUCGGGGACGAGCGCUUUUAUUAGACCAAAACCAAUCGGACCUCGCGUCCGUAUCUUGUGGUGACUCUGAAUAACUUUGGGCUGAUCGCACGGGCCCGACCCGGCGACGUAUCUUUCAAGUGUCUGCCUUAUCAACUUUCGAUGGUAGGUUACGCGCCUACCAUGGUCGUAACGGGUGACGGGGAAUCAGGGUUCGAUUCCGGAGAGGGAGCCUGAGAAACGGCUACCACAUCCAAGGAAGGCAGCAGGCGCGCAAAUUACCCACUCCCAGCACGGGGAGGUAGUGACGAAAAAUAACAAUACGGGACUCUUAUGAGACCCCGUAAUUGGAAUGAGUACACUCUAAAGCCUUUAACGAGGAUCCAUUCGAGGGCAAGUCUGGUGCCAGCCGCCGCGGUAAUCCCAGCUCGAAUAGCGUAUAUUAAAGUUGUUGCGGUUAAAAAGCUCGUAGUUGGAUCUCAGUUCCAGACGGGUGGUCCUCCUACCGGUGGUCACUGCCUGUUCUGAACAGCCAGCCGGUUUCUCUUGAUGAUCUUCACCGGUUGUCUUGGGUGACCGGCAAGUUUACUUUGAAAAAAUUAGAGUGCUCAAAGCAGGCGCGACGCCUGAAUAAUGGUGCAUGGAAUAAUGGAAUAGGACCUCGGUUCUAUUUUGUUGGUUUUCUGGACACGAGGUAAUGAUUAAGAGGGACAGACGGGGGCAUUCGUAUUGCGACGCUAGAGGUGAAAUUCUUGGACCGUCGCAAGACGAACUACUGCGAAAUCUUCUCCCCAGAGAGGA
This 964-nucleotide ribosomal RNA is filed under the name Allagelena difficilis. RNAcentral's name for it is "SSU rRNA". It matches the Rfam family "Eukaryotic small subunit ribosomal RNA", at positions 1 to 968 of the family's 1831-position model. The record is from RNAcentral. Lineage: Eukaryota; Metazoa; Arthropoda; Arachnida; Araneae; Agelenidae.